UCAUACAUAGAGCAAAACUUUGAUAGCUCCAAAUUACUAAUAAGCAACAAUCUUCAUUGGACUCCAUUGGAAUGUAACCAAAAAGUAUUUACAGCAAACACUGUCUAAAAUAUUCGUCUAAUGCAUAAAAACAUAAUAGGCUCACACGCCUUAAUAUAAUAAACGAAAAACAUAUGUAAAAUGUUAUUAUAUAUAGUCGAUCUUGCAGCCUCUUUCUUCAUCUCCGCAGUGUUUCCACUUCCUCAAAACUAUAUUUGGACUUGCUGCACAAGGUGAAACAAUUUUAAAAAAUGAAUUGGGUUCCUACAAUGAGUUAUCAGACACUAAUUCUGAUUUUGACAUAGAUCUAACAGAAUACAAAAAUAAGUUUAAAUAUUUCAUUGCAUAUGAGUGAAAGUCCUUUGCGUUCCAGCCCAUUAAAUACUGGUUCUUGUCAAACUUUCAAAUGAAAAAAAUAUAAAGCUUACCCCAACUAAAGCAUGUCAGCCUAAAAGAUCAAUUGCAAGCUUGUUGCAUUCUAUCAAAAUACGACUGAACAUCUACCGCAAUCUCAUCAUCAUAUUCAUUGAAACCUAAGAAAACAAAUAAAAGGAAGAAAAAUUAUUUACUGGAACACCAAUUUGUAACAAAACAAAGUAAACAUGUAAUAAGUGUAGAAUGAUUUACCUUCUUGCCCACAAAGUCAAUCUAUAGUACAUAACUUCGCCUCCGCAUUUGCAGGUUAAAUAGAACUUGUAUAUUUUUCAAUAAUACGACCUCCAAUGCUAAAGGUAGAUUCAGAGGCUACUGUGGUAAUAGGUAUUCUCAAGACGUCCCUUGCCAUCAAUGAGAGUUCGGAAUAUCUUCGUUUAUUUUCCUUCCAAUAGGCAAGUACAUCCAAAUCUGAAUUUACUUUACGGUCAAGAUUGGGCUCCUCCAAGUACAAAUCCAGUUGUGUUUUAUUUUUACCACACCCCAACUGAGUAUCAAACGUAUCGAACUCCUCAAGUUCAUCCCUCAUUUCAUUACUAGUUUUCCCCGACAAGGAAAUUGUAGUCAAAGGUACAUAGAAUUCUUUGAAUAACAAAUGUAAAUGAUCUGCAACGACUUUAACAUUUGCUUCAAAAGUCUCAUAAAUCAAUUUUAGAGAAGAUAAACUUCACAAACUUAAGCUUAUAUCGAGGAUCAAGAACAAUGGCUAGUGAUAAAAUCAUACGGUAAGACUUUCAAAUUUUUUUUUGAAUUUCUUUAACAUCGAUGUAGCCAUUUCACUCAUAACUGGAUCAAAACUAUCUUUUUCGUCCUUUAAUAACUUCUAAAUUUUUCACACGUUAUGUAGAUACAAAUUAGCAAUUGGAUAUCGACUUUCAGAGGACACUAUAGUAAUGUUAUAAAAUGGUUUCAAAAAUUGAGCAAUCGUCUCUACCCUUUUCCAUUCCUCCUCAGAAAGACCAUGUUUAAAAUCAGUAUCAAUUAAUUUAUAUUGAAUAUAAGCUUGUUGGUAGAGGAUUGCACUUUCAAGCAUCAGAUAAGUGAAAUUCCAACGAAUUGCCAUGCAUGUCUUGACGAAGCUUUUUUAAACACGGCAACCCAAGAUUUUUGAUGCAUUCCACAAACUUUAAGAUUCUUUCUUCUGAAUGUUUAAUAUUCUUAACACCUUCUCUAAUCUUUACAAUAGCUACAUCAGCUUUUUCCAAUCCCGCCUUCACAAUUAAAUUCAAGAUGUGGUUUCCACAACGAACAUAAAAGAACUUUCCACCACAAACUAGUGUUUGCAUCAAAGAUAAGUGUUCUUUUAAAUUAGCUACCACACCCUUAUUACAAGUAGCGUUAUCCAAAGUAAGAGAGAAGAUCUUUUUUACAAUACCCCAUUCCUUAACUAACUCAAUUAGUAAAGUACCCAAAACAACACCAGAAUGUGGAGGGGCACAUGGCGGAAAAUAAACACUAUUUUUUUAAGAAUCCAACUCAAAUCAACAUAAUGAGCAGUUAAACACAUAUAUCCAUUUGACGCUAAAAAAGUCCACAUGUCUGAAGUCAAACACACUCUCCUAGGAAUCACUGUGAGCUCAUUUUUUAGAUAUUAUUUUUCCCUAUCAUACAUCUUCAAAAAAUCAGGCUUGGCAGUAUUUCUUGAAAUUGUUUUCACAGUUGAGUUUAAGUAUAAAUGGAUAUAUCUAUUUCCUUUAUGUUCGGCAAAGCUAAAAGGAUAGUUAUGCUUGAGAAUGGCCACAGAUACUUUCUCAUGAUAAAAUGUUUGAUCAAUUGGCUCAAUCCUAUGCUCUUGUCCUUUGUCUAAGUGUGAACUAAUAUGUCGUUUCAAAUUUGAAGUUCCAGAAUUAGAGUUUGCUAUAAAGAUCUUCUUACAUACCUUACAUUGAACUUUUAACCUUUCAUUACUUGUAGCACGAGGCAUUUUUAGAAAACUUUUCCAAACAUCAGAAGUCGGUUUUUUUGCUAGUUUUGUAGGGACUGAUGAACUAAUCUCACAAGGUUCCUCAUAAACGUCUUCAUUAGCCUCCAUUGACAUCUUUUCCUAACAUAAAUAACAAUUUCAUAUACAAACGACAAACCAAAAGAGAUGCCAAAAACAUGAAAUUCAACAUUCUAUAAAACAAAAAAUCCAAACAUGAAAUUCAAUAUUCUAUAUAAAAAAAAAAUUCAAACUGUAAACUACAUUCACAAUUCUUAUAAAUAAGGAAUCAUUUACCACAAUAAAUUCAGAAACAAGAAAGAGGAUUAAUCACAAACCCUAACCCUAAAUUUCAAAGAAAAGAAAAAGAAGAGAAAGAGGGAAGAUGAGGAAAAAGGAUUCAGGGGAGGAGAAAUUGAGAGACUUACCAGAUUAUCUUUGUAACUGUGAUUCGUGAAGAAACAAUGAAAUUAUUGCUGAAAAAUCGCUUCUAAAAUUUUGAAAACAGUCGUUUCUUUGUAAGUUUGGAGAAAAAUCUGCAAUACCCGU
RNAcentral lists this long non-coding RNA (2941 nucleotides) under Solanum tuberosum (potato). RNAcentral describes it as "long non-coding RNA (STUB_LNC010925)". The record is from RNAcentral. Lineage: Eukaryota; Viridiplantae; Streptophyta; Magnoliopsida; Solanales; Solanaceae.